GAUGAAGAACGCAGCGAAAUGCGAUAAGUAAUGUGAAUUGCAGAAUUCAGUGAAUCAUCGAAUCUUUGAACGCACAUUGCGCCCGCCAGUAUUCUGGCGGGCAUGCCUGUUCGAGCGUCAUUUCAACCAUCAAGCCCCCGGCUUGUGUUGGGGACCUGCGGCUGCCGCAGGCCCUGAAAACCAGUGGCGGGCUCGCUAGUCACUCCGAGCGUAGUAAUACAUCUCGCUCAGGGCGUGCUGCGGGUUCCGGCCGUUAAAAAGCCUUAUUUACCCAAGGUUGACCUCGGAUCAGGUAGGAAGACCCGCUGAACUUAAGCAUACCAAUAAGCGGAGGA
This 335-nucleotide unclassified non-coding RNA is filed under the name soil metagenome. Its description in RNAcentral is "partial contains 5.8S ribosomal RNA, internal transcribed spacer 2, and large subunit ribosomal RNA". The stretch from base 1 to 120 matches the Rfam family "5.8S ribosomal RNA", at positions 35 to 154 of the family's 154-position model. The record is from RNAcentral.